UUUACAAAGGGCGGCCUUCAUGUGAUUUGUUAUUUGUGUGUGUGAUUUACAGAGGGCGAUCUUCGUGCGUGUGUAAUUUGUGUUUCAGUCGGAAUUAGGAGAAGACAGUGACGUUGUGGCAAGUGUUGAAGGCUGCGAAGAUGGCGGCUUAGAAUGGACGACGACUUCUGCAUCGAGUUCUGAAAGACAGGGCGGAAUGAAAGA
RNAcentral lists this long non-coding RNA (204 nucleotides) under Salvia miltiorrhiza (redroot sage). RNAcentral's name for it is "long non-coding RNA (SMIL_LNC013345)". The record is from RNAcentral. Lineage: Eukaryota; Viridiplantae; Streptophyta; Magnoliopsida; Lamiales; Lamiaceae.